AUGAUAGCAGUUAGGGGUGCAAUGGAAAUAUCUCAUCGUCGACACCAAACAUCAAAGAUAAGUGGUCCUCAUUCAUUGUUAUUGCUUAUAGUUCAAAAUUUUGCUUUGCUGCUAUUAUCUAAAUAUUGGUCUGGAUUAAUCAAAAUAUAUUUCUGCUGGAUUACGGAUGCAAAUCCAUUAUUAAUGAAUACCUGCAGAGUUCCCAGAGGUUUCCCCAUAACACACCGAUCUCGUCGUAAAGCAAGGACAGUUUGA
Vicia faba (fava bean) is the source of this 255-nucleotide non-coding RNA. The record is from the annotation of a GenBank genome assembly. Lineage: Eukaryota; Viridiplantae; Streptophyta; Magnoliopsida; Fabales; Fabaceae.